CCUACGGGUGGCAGCAGUUUCGAAUCAUUCACAAUGGGCGAAAGCCUGAUGGUGCGACGCCGCGUGAGGGAUGAAGGUCUUCGGAUUGUAAACCUCUGUCACUGGGGAGAAAACGCUAUACGUUAACAGCGGAUAGCCUGAUUUAACCCGGAGAGGAAGCAGUGGCUAACUCUGUGCCAGCAGCCGCGGUAAUACAGAGACUGCAAGCGUUAUUCGGAUUCACUGGGCGUAAAGGGUGCGCAGGCGGCCGUGUGUGUCAGGUGUGAAAUACCGGGGCUCAACCCCGGAACUGCGCCUGAAACUACAUGGCUAGAGUAUUGGAGAGGGUAGUGGAAUUCACGGUGUAGCAGUGAAAUGCGUAGAUAUCGUGAGGAACACCAGAGGCGAAGGCGACUACCUGGACAAUUACUGACGCUCAGGCACGAAAGCGUGGGGAGCAAAAGGGAUUAGAUACCCCAGUAGUC
This 464-nucleotide ribosomal RNA is filed under the name uncultured Opitutus sp. Its description in RNAcentral is "bacterial SSU rRNA". It matches the Rfam family "Bacterial small subunit ribosomal RNA", at positions 338 to 795 of the family's 1533-position model. Lineage: Bacteria; Pseudomonadati; Verrucomicrobiota; Opitutia; Opitutales; Opitutaceae. The record is from RNAcentral.